UUUUUUUUUUUUUUUUUUUUGGUGCUUUUAUCUUUCCAUGUUGCUUUGCUGUUUUUUUCUUGGCCAUCUGGAGGAAGACCUUAUAUGUGCAACUCAAGAGGUUUUGUCCUGAUGUAUGUUUGCAUCAAACACGAUAUAACUUAGUAUUAAGUUAUAACACAAUGUAACUUAGUAUUUUAAUAUUUUUGGAUUUUUUUUAAUCUAGAAAAUCUGACAAAACAGAUAUUUCCAUACUACAAUUGCUUUCAACAUACUUUCUGCUAUAACAAUUUCAAUUACAUUCUGACUAAAGCACAGCAAAAAUAAUUGUGAAUCCUUUCAGCAAUAAAGUUUAAAUCAAAGCCAUGGAUAAAAAGUUUUUUGUAAUUGUAGAUGGAAAUCUGAGGUUGACUUUCUGAAUUUUCAUAUCUGUUGGCAUUUUCAGUUGUGUAACUGUAUAAUACAGAGAAAUAUUGAAGCCUUAGAAAACUACAGGUACAACAACAAGCAUCAAGUUCAGCAUGUGUUUGAGCAUCCAAUGUCUCUAUUCACAUUUCUAAUUAUAUCAAAUUUUUUAACAUCACUCUGGGGCAGAGGUAAGCCAUUCAGUUGCAUUAAUAUGUAUGUACUGUGAAUGGAUGAUGUGUAUGUAUACUUACAGCAGUGGAUAAAUGACUAAAUGAAAUGUAGUACUUUGGGGCUUUUUCCCCCUCUUCCUGUCCUCUGGUGUAAUUCUCUGCAGAGUGUUACACAUUUUUAAGGGAAUUAGUUGUUAAAGAAGAUUCUUGCACUGCAUGAGUGUUUCUAAUAAUCUGUACUAAUUGAACUUAUUUCACAUUAUUGUAAUUCUUUUUGAUUUUUCCUUAUGAGCAAAAGAAUCAAGCUGCUUUUAAGCUGGUCUUUGCGUGGUUCAUGCAAGAAAUUAUAGGAUGAGUGGAGUAGCAAGAGCUGAAUGCUGGUACAAGAAGCUUCCUCCAGACCUGUGUUUUUAUGCAUGUCUGUAUAUUACUGUAGAGAAUGAGUAGUCUUUUCAGUAUUUUAUGUAUUAUGUACCUAGUAUUGUUUUUAAAAAUUUAAAGCUAGCUUUCUUGCUUUUGGAUGAAGGUAAGUGCUGCUAACUUUAAGAGUUCUUUUUCCUUACUCAGAAGCUGGAAAUUUUAUUUGAUGGUAUGAUUUGUCCAUUUGAAAUUAAACAGAAUUCUUCCUCCAUGUACUAAUUUUAUUCCAAACCACUGACUUCUAGUGUCUUGUUUGUAACUAUGAAGCUAAAAAUUUUGGUAAUGUAAUGUGCUUCUCCUGAGUCUAUUGGUUAAAGGAAACUUAAGUAUCCAUUUAAAUUUCUCAGGAGAAUAAUGCCUCUUCACGAUUUACUGUCCUUUGGCAGUCACUAGCUGCUGCUGGGGUUGAGGACUGCUGCCCCCAGUUUAAGAAACUGCAGAUGACUGCUGAUGUUAAGGUGAAUGAACUGCACGUGAAUAACUGAAAACACUUCUCCAUGUGCUGGAAAUGAACAUAUUUACUUUUUGUUUAUGUAGAUCUUCCAUGGAAUGACCAUGAAAUAGCUUUACAGAGCUGCAUGACUCAGUGGUGUUAUGCAAGUUUCUCAAGAUGCACCAUUCUGUGCUUCAGAAGAGUCAUUCCCCUCGUGCACCUGCCUGUCACAAAAUAUUGCCUCAUUUUCUAUGAAUUUAAAUAGUUUGCCUGAAAACUUAAAGGCUGUUUGGGAUCACUGGACAUUAUGUAUUCACACUUUUUUUGUACUAUUGGUAUGUAGCUGUUUUGUGUUAGCUGUGUAUGUGUAGGAUCAUAAAAGGUACAAAAAUCAGAAGUCUUUCCCUUUUCUCUUUUCCCCCCUUGCUAUACUAUAUGAGAGACCCACAAGAUAGAAUAUGAUGGGAAUUCUGAAGAGUAAUUUAAACUAUAUUAAGUCAAUACCAUCAGCUCUUCCAUUGGAUCUGAGGACAUUGUCAGUCUCUCUCCACAGUAUGAAGUUGAAAUAUUUAAUGAAUUUCAGAUUAAAAAGAUAUUCAAA
Molecule: long non-coding RNA, 2011 nt
Organism: Taeniopygia guttata (zebra finch)
Lineage: Eukaryota; Metazoa; Chordata; Aves; Passeriformes; Estrildidae
Source: Ensembl